Molecule: long non-coding RNA, 1389 nt
Organism: Anopheles stephensi (Asian malaria mosquito)
Lineage: Eukaryota; Metazoa; Arthropoda; Insecta; Diptera; Culicidae
Exons: 2
Source: RefSeq, a predicted model, not a curated record
CCAGAGGCUGUGUGCGACACAAUUCAAAGCGUUUUUCUGAGCGAUUAUCGUGCACGUGUGGGAUGGUCAAAAUAAAAAUUACCCACUGUGUAGACGUCAACAGAGUGGCCAACGCUAGAAGCAGCCCUGACAGUUGAUUUGUUUACCCGUUCAAGAGCAUUGCUAAGAGCCGCACUUGGUGUUGUUUCGUUGAUGAAUCGCGGAAAGGUACGCUGAUGCAUCCGUACUACAUAAUGGGAUAGUUUAUGCCAAUACAGUUGCUACAUAAUAUCCUAGUCCGGGCGCUAGGUUAGGAAGCUCCCGCUUAGCAUAACAACACCGAUUUAUGAACUCGAAAGAUGGCACAAAUGCUGAAUCUCUCCUCUACGGUUGAGGUAGAGCAAAUUUAAAAUAGCUUUAAAUGAUGGAGGAAUACACCAAAAUCGCAACGAUUCAGGAGGUCCCCUGAAAUAUCCUAGUCCACAACAUUAAGUUAAACUGAAUGCUUUCUGGAUAGGGGCGAUUCAGCAUCUUUUCCAGGCAUUGAAAAUGGUAACCAAGCCGUAAAAGUGCCUGUAUAUCACGCCUCCUCUUCAUACAUCACCAUGAAGGGUCAACAUGAUCGGGUAAAAUAGCGAGGCCUUAAGCUCCCCUGCUUGUAUUGUUAUUUAAACCAAACGGGUAAUUAUGGUUUAUAAUCCACAUUGACUAGGAAGAAAAAUGCCUAGAAGGCACCAAGCCUAGUUCAACGAUUAUAAUCAGCUAUAGCGCAAUGCGAAGGUACUAUAGCAAACGAUAGAAUAUUCCAGACAAGCAUUACUAGCCUGAUCAAAAACAAGGAUGAGCUGGAAAGUUUUUCUAUUAGCAGCGAAAUACGAAGGCGCAUUGUGUCUACCGCGGGCUCCACGGACUCCUGAGAUCCAUAUGAAUCCUACAACGCACGGAAUAUCGCGCACUGAUACGGCCGGUAGUCCUCAACGGGCACGAGUCCUGGACUAUGCCUGUAGGACACCAAUGCACCUGCCAUUUUGGCUAGACCUGAGGAGGAUCGAAUGCAGCCGGGGGUGGAGGAUGGCUGCACAACCAUGGACCGUGUUUCCUGGAAACGGAUUGGAUACCAGGCCAUGUCUUAAAGAUGUGUUCCAUAGGAGUAGGCUAUGAAAGAAGAAGAAGACCUUGCUUCGUCAGUUUAGAAGAAAAGAAGAGUCUAGGAAGCUAGAACUAACAAAAUCUCAUGAGCUUAGGGAAUAGUUUCGGAUUACUCAAACACAACCAAACAAGUAGCACAGCUAACAGUCUUAUACAUCAGUAGUUGUCCCGCUUGCCGGAACAAGUUUAUUACAUCGGGUUUGAUUAACAAGAUAUACGAGAUGAUGGGUGCCGGGAUGGGCACCUCACUCCGUUCAGUGA